RNAcentral lists this ribosomal RNA (441 nucleotides) under uncultured bacterium. Its description in RNAcentral is "partial 16S ribosomal RNA". It matches the Rfam family "Bacterial small subunit ribosomal RNA", at positions 338 to 795 of the family's 1533-position model. The record is from RNAcentral.
CCUACGGGCGGCAGCAGUGGGGGAUAUUGCACAAUGGGGGGAACCCUGAUGCAGCGACGCCGCGUGGGUGAAGGAGUGCUUCGGCAUGUAAAGCCCUAUCGGCAGGGAAGAAGCAAGACGGUACCUGACUAAGAAGCCCCUGCUAACUACGUGCCAGCAGCCGCGGUAAUACGUAGGAGGCGAGCGUUAUCCGGAUUCACUGGGUGUAAAGGGAGCGUAGACGGCCAUGCAAGCCAGGGGUGAAAGCCCGGGGCUCAACCCCGGGACUGCCCUUGGAACUGUGCGGCUAGAGUGCGGGAGGGGCAGGCGGAAUGCCUGGUGUAGCGGUGAAAUGCGUAGAUAUCAGGCGGAACACCGGCGGCGAAGGCGGCCUGCUGGACCGCGACUGACGUUGAGGCUCGAAAGCGUGGGGAGCGAACAGGAUUAGAUACCCUUGUAGUC